Molecule: long non-coding RNA, 637 nt
Filed under: Sus scrofa (pig)
Lineage: Eukaryota; Metazoa; Chordata; Mammalia; Artiodactyla; Suidae
Description: lncRNA (ENSSSCG00045023749.1)
Source: RNAcentral
CUCCUCCCCUCGGCGGCGUGACAGCCUCGGCCUGCCGGUCUCCCGGGUGGGCUGGGGGGCGGGCACAGGCACCCCGGCCACUUUGGAGGCUCGGGGAGAGGUUCGUAGAAGAGGCUGAGCGGACGGAGCGGAGGCGGUGCCAGGCGCCAGGCGUCCACCUGCGAGGAAGGCGCAGCGGCCGUGGGAGCCUGGGCGGCGGUGGCGGCAGCAUUGUGCUCCGAGCUGCAAGGAGACCAGAACCCCAAAGAGAGUGGCUACAGCAUCCCCAGAAACUUCUAGAAAGCUUUAGCAAGGAUCCCAAGACUUCCACGUUCAACACUUAUGGAGGUAGGGAGAGGGUCCUAACCCAGAAGUUGGGCUUUCGAUUUCAAUCUCUUUCUCCUCAAAGCACUCAAAGCACCAGAAACUGCAUCUAGUAGGUUCUCAAACACACCCCAGCCCCAUCUCUCCUUAAAGGCCCCCAAGCGUCAAGGACAGAGAUGCAGGAUUCCACAGAAUGGAUCAGAUGCAGAUGCUCAGACAUAAGGAACUGAAGAUAGGGAUGAGCCUGCGCAGGGUCUGGUCCAUCACAGGAGCGUCCGAUCAGACCCAACCUCUCUGUAGUCCCUAAGUGGGUGCCUGACAGCAGUCCCACAGC